Taeniopygia guttata (zebra finch) is the source of this 5232-nucleotide non-coding RNA. The record is from RefSeq and is a predicted model, not a curated record. NCBI's taxonomy places the organism in Eukaryota, Metazoa, Chordata, Aves, Passeriformes, Estrildidae.
CUGGCCUACUUCUUCUUCUUGUCCUGCAUGUCUUGGUGUGAUGGUGACACUUUUCUGUUGGUUUAAGGUGGAGACACACUGUCAAACAUAAAUGAUAGAUAUUGGCACGUUAUUGUAAACACAGUACACAUAGUUUUUGGUAUGAAAUAUAAACACCGCCCAAGAGAGCAGAUAGAAUGCCAUGGCCAACCUGCUGAACAGAGCUUAGCAGCUCAGAGAAAGAAUGUUAUAGAUCAGAGAAAAUAAACAAGCUUGAGAAGCUGACCCUACGCAUCCAGACUUCUUUGGCUGUGCAGGCUGAGGAAUGAGGACUUUUACACUCUCGGGGUCACCUUGACACCCAGACCCCGAGACAGAAGUUCUGGACUGUGGGGUCUGUUCACUCCUUUUGCUCUCAACUGUGCCAAGAUCACAGUGUAACCCUGAAACUCUUCCAGAUCUGAGGCUCUGUGUGUUUAGCAUUUUGAAUUAAAGGUGAUGCUUCUAAGCUAAAAGACCAAUCUUGCAGCUAUGCACAACUUCUUUCCUACUAUUCUCAGUUUAUUUUAAUUCACAUUGGUCUGUGUCUGACGUACCACAAGUGUUAGUUAUAGACAUACACUCUUCUCCUUGGAGGCUUUUUUGCCAUAAAGAAAUCUAAGUCAAAAUUGUGACAUUAUUAACUGCCAGGAGAAAUCCAUAAUCUCUCAUCAAACUCUGGGUUUUCCCCCUAAUGGGUUUCAAUUAAAAUUUUUUAAUGGAUUUGGUUUUUUGUUUAUCUAAACUUGUUUUUAUGCCAUACGCUAUUCAUAUAAUACAAGACUCUGGAGGCUGCAAUAGAAAUAAUGUACUCUGAAAAUCCAGCAUUGCUAAACCUUAAAAAGGAUUUUCCCUACAGACAUGCAGUCAGAGGAUGAAGCAGCAGCAAUUAAGCAGCCAAUGCUGUGAAGAAGCAAUCUUUAACUUUUGAGAUAAUUUAACAGGAAACAGUAUUUUCAGUGCCUGCUUCAGGAGUCAGAUAGCUAUUUUAGGGUGGUUUUGUCUUCUAAAUGCAUUCCCCUUCCCUGGAUUAAGUGCAUUUUUUUGUCCUUUAAUCCUAAUUUGUUGACACUUUCUAAUUAAUUCUCAGCCUUUUCCCAGCAGGUUGAAACCACUGUAUUGUCACUAGAAUAUGCCACUCUGCUAAGUGGCUUUUCACCCCAGGCACCCCCUGCCCCUUCUUGGUGGUCUCUGCAUUACAUCUCUCUCCCAGAUACUCUUCAUUUAUUCAGUCCCCAUUUCUUUCCUUCCCCAGCUAAGUUUCUCUUCUGUUGCCACACUAAGCAAUAAUAAAUUCUUACCUACCUUGUUUUGUUUUUUUUUCCUUGUCCCCAACUUCAAGUAGUGCAUUUUUGUUAUUGGUAAUUUUAGAUCAGGUGCGGUGUCACUCUUCUAGAUGAGGACAUUUCAGAUUUAAAUCUGUGACUUUAGCUGUAAUGAUGAAUGGGGUUUGUUUUAUAUAAUUUUUUCCUGACAGAGCCUCCUCUGAGAGUGUAAGGCACAAAUCAGCUUUAGAGUUAGAAAGUUUUUUGGUUUUAGGGUUUUUAUGGUUUGGGAGUUAUUUGUGGAUUUGGUUUCUUUUUUUUUUUUUUUUUUUUUUUCAGUCUUGUCUAAUUUGUUUAUUAGCAAGGGGUCCAGUUAUCAUUGGGCUAGCACAUAAGAAGGUGCUGGGAUAUUUUCUUUCAAGCUCAAUAGUUCCCAAGGCUAAGAGCAGCCACCAGUAGUUCACAGCUGGGCUGUGGAUUCUUUGCAUCCUGACAUACCUAUGCCAUGGCAACAGCCCAAUCUACAGUUUUAAGGAAAAAAUGCUUGAUAAUGUGUUCUGAUCAUGUUUCCACUGAUUUCCCAUGUAUCCUCUUUUUAAGAAAUAAGUACCUUAAAGAGCAGUGACUGUAGCUCUCUUCUCAAGAUUGAAGUGAACAAGGUACACUGUGAAUAUUGUACUUGUUACACUAAAAUAGUAACUUGAUAGGCUUACUUAGUUCUUUCAUGAAUUUGGUCAAGCUACGAUGAUGGAAUUGCUAAGCAAUGUAAAUUCUCAUAGGUUUGUAUAAGAAGUGGAAGUUUGUAAAAGACUUAUUUUUGGAUUUGUUCUAUCUGUAUUGCUUUUGGGAAUUGUAGACUGUAAAUCCAAGUUUCAGGGCAAACCGGGAUGCUUCCGUCAUUGAGUGAAAUAUUUAUUUUAUUGCCAAAAUUGCAUGUGCUUUUUAAAUUUUGACUGUUUUCUGUUUCAUACAUGUUUCCUCAUAAGUUAUGUUUCUCCUUAAGAUAUUCCUUUGUCUCUCUUGCCAUGGAAGUUUCUACCAUUCUGUAAUUACAAGCUCUUUUUGCAGAUGGCCUCUUUCUCCUAAAUCCAGUGUAGCUUCUCUACUAGAGAAGCAGUUAAACAACCUGAUUCCUAGUUUGAGCUCAGAGAAAAUUCCACUCUAAAAAAGUGUGUUUUGGUUAAUGAGUUCCUAUACCAGUCUUCAUAUAAUGGCAAAAUUUGUAUUUUUUAUGGUAAAUUGACAGGCAAUGGGCCUGAAAAUGAGCAUGUCCGGAGAUGCUGCUGUGCUAUGCGAGUGGUUCUGCUGAAAGUAGUGCUGGUGCUCCUUGUGUACAGGAGAAUAAAGCUGCCCUAGCAGUAACACUGUGUGAAGUUAAUGCUGAGGCUGUGAAGUACUAGGAAGCUGGCAAACAGCAGAAUGGGAUUUGUUUUUUCUGCUGCUGUAGUUCUGAGUUGGGCAGCCUUGUCCCACUUUUUGGAGAUAGGGUUUCACUCUGAUAAAAAGCUGUAGGUUCAGCUGCAAGUCAUCCUUUUGUACUCACUUUUUCCUCGACUGUUUUCUCCCCCGCCCUGUGUGUUCAGGAGUUGGUGUAUUCUGUAUUUCCCCAGACAGCCAGUGUGGAAACCCCCAGAGCGUGACAGUCCCUGUGUUCUCAGGUUCAGGUUUGUGUUGCCCUUUGAAGAUAAGAGCAGAAAGGCCCUGCUAGCAGGACAGCACUGGAUCAAAGCUCCCCCUCAUCUGCUUUGAUUUGGCAAUAUUCCUUCAGUCUUUCACUUUAAACUGUUUGGGUUGGGACUGAUGAUCAAAUCUGUCUUCUGGUCUGUUAUCAAACCUGAUUUUUGCUGAAAACCCUCCAAUGCUAGAAGUGUGAGAUGGGACAUUUCAGUCUUCAGUGCUUUAACUCGCUCAGGGUUGAGGCAGAGGAGAUGCUGGAAGUUAUUGACAGAAUUGAACUUCAUGUACAAGUACUGAGAGGAUGUAUUCAGUUGAUUGAAUGUUAGUUGGUGAUGAAAUACAGAGGAUAAAAUGCUGACACUACAAAGAUAAUGUCUCUUGGUAAUUUCCAGUGUAAGCUCAGAGCAGUUAGUCAAGCCUAUACCUGAAUUUUCCAUGGUUAAACUUAAGACAACACAUUUCUUUUUCAUAUGUGUCAAACUCAUGUCAAUAAUAGCAAUAUAAGAGUAUAUCUGUGCCUUCUGUGAAAAUUUCUUUCUGAAAGUAAUGAACUUCCAGAUGUGGGAUGUUUUGGCUUCCCCUUUCCCUUCCCCUUUUUUCUUCUUUUUUUUUUUUUUUUUUUUUUUUUUUUUUUUUUUUUUUGAGAAGGUUCAUAUUAGCUCUGUCUCUACCAUUUUUUUUAUCAUUGGUUGGCCAAAAAAAUUGCCUUAUUCCAGAGAAGCGAUUUGUAUUAAACCAAAAUGUAUUAUGAGCAAAGUAGGUAACAUUAAAAAAAAUUAACUCUUGUAUGACAGUUAUAUUUCUCACAAUAGAUUUUUUUACAGCGUUUUUCCUCACACUGGAAAUGGGAAUUCCAUUUCUGCAUGUGUUGUUUCCGACAUGACAUUUAAAGACAUGGUGCUUCUGCUUCUCAAUAAAAGUUACUAGGAAAUUAAUAGUAUUCUUGUGUGUGCCACAUACCUGUAUGUCUAUUCAUUGUGUACUUGAAGGGGCCACAAAACUUUGAGACAGCAUCUUGAAGCUAAAAAAAUCUACUUCCUCUUCCUUCUGGUUUCAACAAGUUUGACAGCUACAGUUUAUCUGAGCAAGACAAAGUGAUUAAUUUCUUUUAGAUCCUGCUGCAUUCCCCGAUUUCUUGUAGUGUUUACCUUUCAUAUUUUGGUAUUCUCUUAAGCAUGAGCCUGUAAUUGCUCUCAAAAAUCCGUUUCGCUGUCCAUCAGAAAAAAAACCCAGAAAGUGGAGUUAUACUAAUGCCCUGUUCACUUGUUCAAAACUGAAGUGCUUUAUGCUUCUGAAAACUCCUAAUUUUCAAGUGAUUUGUAUUAUGUAAAAUAUAUUUUGAAGAUACUUUUAAAAAUAUCUUUAUGAAAGGAAAAAUAAUUUUUAAAGGCUUAGGAAUCUGGUUUCUUUAGAACCUGGUGCUCAAACAAGCACAGCCAAGCAGUGUGUUUGGGGUUUGUGUACUGCCAGUGACUGCUUCUCUUCCAGCUUUGCUUUUUGAGUUUUUCUAUUCUGUGCAGUGUUAACUGCCACCCUGAUGAAUUAACUCAUGCACUUAAAAUGUUUUGCUAUAUUUUGACACUGGUGAUGUCAAAGGCUCCCACUUCUCAUGAAACAAGUGAUGUUGGGGUAAGUGACUUGGGUUAGGUUGGUGUGGAAUGUGUGCCUUGGCUCCAGAAGAAAUACCAUUUAAUUUCUUGGUUCAUACUGAGUUUCACAGCACUGGAAGGCCUCCUCAUCACGUGUGUGGACUCACUCUAUCUUUGUUGUUUUAACUACAGCAGUUGCUUUAAUGUGCUAUGCUGUAGCUGUGACUCCAGCCCUGCUGCAUGCAUGCUUGCCAUAUGUGUAAACAAUUUGCUGAUUUUAGUGGUAUGACCUGCUGGCCUCUGCCUGUAUAAACAAAUGGAGGCCAAAGUUCAGAGAGAUCAGAGGGGAAACUUUAAACAUCCUGCAAAAUCUGCAGUCCAUUAAGUGUACGUUAGUGUUUGGUUACAGCCAAUCCUUUUGUACUUUUGAGUAAUUUGUUCGUGGCAUGUUUGGGAAAGGAGGGAUGGCUUCACCUGGGGCUUGGGUUUGCACUGAGAAACCAGCUUCAGUGGCAUUUUCUUGGAAAGGGAAUGCUCACGGCUGCUUCACUUUUCAUUUAGAUUGAGAUUUGAAAGAGUUGUGGGGACAUUGGCCAAAGGGCUGUAGUGUGCAAAGAAUGAAUGAUAUGAGAGGCCUGUGACACAAGCAACAGAAUGAAAUGUGUGGCAAAGAAAGCAGAAAA